UGGAGAAGCUAUUUGAGGAUCUAUUUAUACUUGAUGUUAAGUCCUGUGUGUUGGCAGGUUUCGUGAAGUGAGUCGGAGUCUCGAAGAAUCGGUGCGUAUCGUCGAAGAUCGAAGAAUUCAAGAUUUCGAAGAAAUUGGAAAAUGACUCACGAUGUGAAUCACGAUGUCCAGGUAAAGUGUUAGUUCAUGUUAUGGUGAUUCAUACUUAGUUGUAGGCAUUAGAAUCAUAAUAUCAAUGUUUAAUGGAUUAGAAAGUGCAUCGGAACUUUGCAAAACCCGAAACGGUGAAAAUUUGCAAAAUGUACCGGUACAGCAUCAGAAGUGUACC
This 328-nucleotide long non-coding RNA is filed under the name Ananas comosus (pineapple). Its description in RNAcentral is "long non-coding RNA (ACOM_LNC003085)". The record is from RNAcentral. Lineage: Eukaryota; Viridiplantae; Streptophyta; Magnoliopsida; Poales; Bromeliaceae.